RNAcentral lists this small RNA (30 nucleotides) under Bombyx mori (domestic silkworm). RNAcentral describes it as "ovarian small RNA-9823". Lineage: Eukaryota; Metazoa; Arthropoda; Insecta; Lepidoptera; Bombycidae. The record is from RNAcentral.
UUUUUAACAACUAGGGUCAUUAACGACCAC